RNAcentral lists this transfer RNA (71 nucleotides) under Camelus bactrianus (Bactrian camel). It matches the Rfam family "tRNA". Rfam says of the family: Transfer RNA (tRNA) molecules are approximately 80 nucleotides in length. Their secondary structure includes four short double-helical elements and three loops (D, anti-codon, and T loops). The record is from Rfam by way of RNAcentral. RNAcentral also lists the same sequence under 3 other names. Lineage: Eukaryota; Metazoa; Chordata; Mammalia; Artiodactyla; Camelidae.
AAGGGUAUAGCUCAGUGGUAGAACGCAGGCUUAGAUGCACAAGGUCCUGGGUUCAAUCCCCAGUACCUUCA